AACGAACGCUGGCGGCAGGCUUAACACAUGCAAGUCGAACGCUCGUAGCAAUACGGGAGUGGCGGACGGGUGAGUAACGCGUGGGAACGUGCCCUGAGGUACGGAAUAACUGAGGGAAACUUCAGCUAAUACCGUAUGAGCCCCGAGAGGGGGAAAGAUUUAUCGCCUUGGGAGCGGCCCGCGUCGGAUUAGCUAGUUGGUGGGUAACGGCCUACCAAGGCUUCGAUCCGUAGCUGGUCUGAGAGGACGAUCAGCCACACUGGGACUGAGACACGGCCCAGACUCCUACGGGAGGCAGCAGUGGGGAAUCUUGCGCAAUGGGGGCAACCCUGACGCAGCCAUGCCGCGUGAACGAUGAAGGCCUUAGGGUGUAAAGUUCUUUUACCCGUGACGAUGAUGACGGUAACGGGGAAUAAGCUCCGGCUAACUUCGUGCCAGCAGCCGCGGUAAU
Molecule: ribosomal RNA, 451 nt
Filed under: uncultured bacterium
Lineage: Bacteria
Description: bacterial SSU rRNA
Rfam family: Bacterial small subunit ribosomal RNA
Source: RNAcentral